UACGAAGGGGGCUAGCGUUGCUCGGAAUUACUGGGCGUAAAGGGCGCGUAGGCGGACAGUUUAGUCAGAGGUAAAAGCCCAGGGCUCAACCUUGGAACUGCCUUUGAUACUGGCUGUCUUGAGUACGGGAGAGGUGUGUGGAACUCCGAGUGUAGAGGUGAAAUUCGUAGAUAUUCGGAAGAACACCAGUGGCGAAGGCGACACAUUGGCCCGUUACUGACGCUGAGGCGCGAAAGCGUGGGGAGCAAACAGGG
RNAcentral lists this ribosomal RNA (254 nucleotides) under uncultured bacterium. Its description in RNAcentral is "partial 16S ribosomal RNA". It matches the Rfam family "Bacterial small subunit ribosomal RNA", at positions 524 to 777 of the family's 1533-position model. The record is from RNAcentral.